AUGCCUGCCCAGAGCUGUGUCCCACAUUUCCUCCCUUCUUAAGUCGUCCCAGACCAACCCUCCAGGCAAGUUACCUCGCUUGCAGGGCGUGGUUUAAUGUUCUCUGGCCCCCUCUCUCUUCCCCAGAACAGCAUGCCGUUCAGGAGUUGACCAAAGCAGCCAUGAGUGGCGUGGGCAUUGACGGAGAAGUGCUCUCUUACUUGGAAUUGGCUCAGUUUCACAAUGCCCACCAGUUGGCCGCCUGGUGUUUGCACCACAUCUGCACCAACUACAACAGUGUAUGCUCCAAGUUCCGCAAGGAAAUCAAAUCAAAAUCUGCAGACAACCAGGAAUACUUCGAGCGGCACCGCUGGCCCCCUGUGUGGUACCUGAAGGAAGAAGAUCACUACCAGCGUGUGAAAAGGGAACGAGAGAAGGAAGAUAUUGCACUAAAUAAGCAUCGCUCAAGACGAAAGUGGUGCUUCUGGAAUUCAUCUCCAGCAGUGGCCUGAAGAGGAAGAGAAAAAAAACAAAAAACAAAAACCAAUUGGCCACAAUUGACUAUGAAGUCACCCUGUGAUUCUCUUUGCCCACAUGACCACCGAGCAUUAUUACGUAAUUAGAGGGUUAUCCUUUUGUUGUGAAAGGAAGGAGGGGACUGAAAUCUCCCAAAGUGCAAAUUGGAGAGUGUUUAAUCUUUGUUCUGUUGAAUAACAUCGGUGUAAUUACAAAGUCAAUUCCAAGAAUGUGUAUUUACAAUAUUUGCCGUGUUAAGUGCUGGUAAUUAUAUGGUUAUAUGUGCCAUGUAAAAUAUAGUGAUAUCAAAUAUUCUGUUGUUUCCAAUGUCUAGUUUCAAGAGGACAAUCUUUAUAAUCAUUA
RNAcentral lists this long non-coding RNA (858 nucleotides) under Gorilla gorilla gorilla (western lowland gorilla). Its description in RNAcentral is "lncRNA (ENSGGOG00000044418.1)". The record is from RNAcentral. Lineage: Eukaryota; Metazoa; Chordata; Mammalia; Primates; Hominidae.